This is a long non-coding RNA of Papaver somniferum (opium poppy), 1088 nucleotides long. RefSeq lists it as uncharacterized. NCBI's taxonomy places the organism in Eukaryota, Viridiplantae, Streptophyta, Magnoliopsida, Ranunculales, Papaveraceae. The transcript is spliced from 2 exons. The record is from RefSeq and is a predicted model, not a curated record.
ACAGGAAAGCCAAAACCUUUUUUCUUUCGUCUCUUUUCUCCUUCUUCUCUCUCUGUUCUCCUUCUCCAUCUCUUUGUUCAUCAGAAAAACCUCUGCAUAAUCAGUUGACGAAACUAAUCGAGCUCAUCUUCCUAAAUCUCUCAGAAAAAUCGAAGUGGACAUUUUUUCCAAACAAGGUUAGGGUAAAUCACUCUACACUCAAGGUUAUUUUGGCGGUGAGAGUUAAUCACUUUUUGGAUAAAUAGAACCCUGUAGAUUAAACAUCCGUAUUGGUAUUCUUUAUAUUUAUGAUUUUGCAGUGGCCGAUCAUAAAAGAACCAUGAGGUAAUUAAUUACAAAACACACUUCGUCAUUAACACGCCACUGUAUUCUUCUUGAAAUUCUGUUUUAAGUAUGUUUUCAAAACACACGUUACAUAAUCUGGGUAAUAAGAUGUCACACUCCAGUUACAAUGCAAGGUCAACAUAUACAAUUUAAGUUUCUAGGUUUAAUCGGUUGCACAGUGUGCAAAUGGGUUGUUUACAGAAGAAAUUCUUAGACGAAGUUGAAUAUUUCAGCCGAACGUGAUGGCAAGCUGAACGUGAUUGUUUAUUUUGGUGACUUACCGGUCAACUUGCUAUGCCUGCUUUGAAUUAAGCCGAUAAUGGUGUCAAGUUUGUUCCCCUCUUUUCUGGCGUCAGAAGGAAUUUUUCAAAAGAAACCUAUCAUCUGGAUGGAAGUGUCUAUAUGGAAUUCAAUGGUUGGUCAGAUACGUAGCACACCAAAGAACUUUUAAUGCUUCUUGCAAUUUGUCGAUAACAUCUUAUCAUUAAACGUUUUUGUUACCACCUCAAUAUCAUUAUUGCUUCAACUUUGACCCCACCUGGAAAUGUUUAUGCUUGAAAAGAGCACACACCAAAAAUGAUCGUAAUCUUGCGCAAUACCGAGUCGUUGCAUCUGUUCUGCAUCAUUGUAUCUGUCCUGCUUAUUUUGGAUUGCUGUAAUUUUUAUUUUGUUGGUUUUUGGUCUGCGCUUAUUUUGAUCACUCUUGACAUUGUUUUUGAUUUGCAUUUUUGAUUGAUCAUUUCAAAUUAAUUGGGUCUGUGUAA